RNAcentral lists this long non-coding RNA (1479 nucleotides) under Phoenix dactylifera (date palm). RNAcentral describes it as "long non-coding RNA (PDAC_LNC009476)". The record is from RNAcentral. Lineage: Eukaryota; Viridiplantae; Streptophyta; Magnoliopsida; Arecales; Arecaceae.
AGAUGGGGGCCUUACAUGGGAAUGAUUGACGUUGAGGGAGAUGAGAGCAAAAAUGAAUGAGAGAGAUGAGAGGAACGAAAUUCUUGAACCAUCUCACCUCUUAAAUCGUUUUGAGGUGUUGAAUCGUCUCAGUCAGGGUGCGGUCUAGUUCAAUAUGCUUUGAACUACCUAGUUUGGGAUGGUUCUGUGGUCCCUACUACAUAUUAUCCAUGUGAAUCCUUUUAGACUUUAAAUUGUUUAAUUGUAAUAAUAAAGAUAAAACCCAAAGAUCAAUUUUCUAUUUUUAUUCAAUUGUUACAAGUUCAAACCAAAACAUGCAGUUUUAUAAGCUGAAUUAAUUUGCAGAAUUUUGAUAUGCAGAAUUUUUUAAUAACUGAGAUAUAUUAUGUCGAGAACACAAAAAAGCAGAAUUCUAUUUUUUUAGAAAUACAAAUUAUAUAAAUAUAAUAUAUAAAAAUAUGAUUUAGAGAAAUUUAGUUUACUGUAGUUUUAUUUCACAGAAAUUAUUAUCCAGAAUUCAAUAUAUGCAGAUAUUAAGUUUUUGAAAUAUAAUAUACAUAAUUAUAAAAACCUCAUUCUCAGAAAAUUAAAUCUGAUUUAAUAAAUUCUGCAGAGCUCUCUUUCAAAAUAGAAUAAUAACAUACAGAAAUUCGUUAAUGAGAAAUUUAGAUUAUUAUUACAGAAACUAAUUUGUAGGAUUUCUCUAUUUGUAAUGAAAUUAAGUUGUUGAGUUAUACUACAUAGAAAUAGAACAAUACUCAGAAAUUCAAAAAUCAUUGCUGGAAUAAUGCUAUAGGAAUUAAUAUCAAUACUAAAAAGAUACUUGCUAGUAGAAUUAAAAUUGGAAAGAAAAUAAAAUUAGAGAUACUAUUAACUAUUUGCUAUAUUAAAAAAAUCUUUAAAAGGAAAUCUUUAAAAAGAUACCUGUAGUGCACCAAAUGAUAACACUGCAGGUAUCUGCAUGAUAGCUCUAGUAUAUAUACUAUAUAUAAAUCAAGACAAAAUAGGACUCAAGUCCUCAUGGUAAUAGAUAUAAGGCCUCUCAUAGUUUUCUUUGUUUCUUUCUUCUUUUUUUUUUGGUACAGCGGCGGUUCAUACUCUACGGGUGUGGACACGGCCAAGAAAAUCAGAAAACAACAAGGCAGAAAAAGAAGCUGGCAAUCUGUCACCCUCCAUCCACACACAGCCACCAGAGUGGGGGGCCGCAUAGGAGGCAACCCAAUCAGUUGCUCCAUUCGCUUUUCUGUAGGUAUGUGUGGCCUAAUGGGCAACAUACGCCUGUAGCAGUCUGUGAAUAUUAAGGAGCAGUGGCCUACCCUCUUCCGCACGAUCCCGACCCCGGAUCCAGUCGAUCACUGUAGCCGAGUCGCCCUCGAGAAUAAGCCGAUCUGCACCCAAAGUCCGACGGGUAAAAGAGAUGCCCUCCCAAGCCGCUCUGAGCUUAGUACACACCACCGAGGCAUCGAGAAUCCGUUGACC